UCCCCCUCUCCUCUUCUUUCCAUGAUCUCUCUUGCUCUCCUUAAGCUCUCCUCUCUCCGUGCUCUCCCCUCCACCACCGUCGUCCGUCGUCCGACCGCAUCGCCCACCGUUUGUCGUUCGCUGAAGGUAAAGUUUUCAACUUUUUUUUUGUGUUGAUCGGGCCACCGGGGGGCAGAGCCAUCCGCCGGGGGGGAGGGGGUUCGUGGGCUGCCGACGGCGCCAUGGGAUCAGGGAGGGGUCGAUCGGC
RNAcentral lists this long non-coding RNA (247 nucleotides) under Elaeis guineensis (African oil palm). RNAcentral describes it as "long non-coding RNA (EGUI_LNC070004)". The record is from RNAcentral. Lineage: Eukaryota; Viridiplantae; Streptophyta; Magnoliopsida; Arecales; Arecaceae.